This 377-nucleotide ribosomal RNA is filed under the name uncultured eukaryote. RNAcentral's name for it is "partial 18S ribosomal RNA". It matches the Rfam family "Eukaryotic small subunit ribosomal RNA", at positions 592 to 976 of the family's 1831-position model. The record is from RNAcentral.
CAAUAGCGUAUAUUAAAGUUGUUGCAGUUAAAAAGCUCGUAGUUGGAUUUCGGGGCAGCCUGGCUGGUCCGCCGCAAGGCGAGUACUGGUCAGCCGCCCUUCCUCUCGAAAGCCCCGACUGCUCUUUAUUGCAGUGGUCGGGUAGUUCGGGACGUUUACUUUGAAAAAAUUAGAGUGUUCAAGGCAGGCCUACGCCUGAAUACAUUAGCAUGGAAUAAUGGAAGAGGUCCUCGGUCCUAUUUUGUUGGUUUCCAGGACCGAAGUAAUGAUUAAGAGGGACAGUUGGGGGCAUUCGUAUUUAAUUGUCAGAGGUGAAAUUCUCGGAUUUAUGAAAGACGAACAACUGCGAAAGCAUUUGCCAAGGAUGUUUUCAUUAA